Molecule: ribosomal RNA, 497 nt
Filed under: uncultured bacterium
Lineage: Bacteria
Description: partial 16S ribosomal RNA
Rfam family: Bacterial small subunit ribosomal RNA
Source: RNAcentral
GAUGAACGCUGGCGGCGUGCCUAAUACAUGCAAGUCGAGCGAACAGACGAGGAGCUUGCUCCUCUGACGUUAGCGGCGGACGGGUGAGUAACACGUGGAUAACCUACCUAUAAGACUGGGAUAACUUCGGGAAACCGGAGCUAAUACCGGAUAAUAUAUUGAACCGCAUGGUUCAAUAGUGAAAGACGGUUUUGCUGUCACUUAUAGAUGGAUCCGCGCCGCAUUGGCUAGUUGGUAGGGUAAAGGCUUACCAAGGGGACGAUGCGUAGCCGACCUGAGAGGGGGAUCGGCGACACUGGAACGGGGACACGGUCCAGGGUCCUGCGGGAGGCAGCAGUAGGGAAUCGGCCGCAAUGGGCGAAAGCCUGACGGAGCAACGCCGCGUGAGUGAUGAAGGUCUCCGGAUCGUAAAACUCUGUUAUUAGGGAAGAACAAAUGUGUAAGGAACUAUGCACGUCUUGACGGUACCUAAUCAGAAAGCCACGGCUAACUACGUG